RNAcentral lists this ribosomal RNA (555 nucleotides) under Phascolosoma esculenta. RNAcentral's name for it is "partial 16S ribosomal RNA". It matches the Rfam family "Bacterial large subunit ribosomal RNA", at positions 1839 to 2620 of the family's 2925-position model. The record is from RNAcentral. Lineage: Eukaryota; Metazoa; Annelida; Sipuncula; Phascolosomatiformes; Phascolosomatidae.
UCAGCUAUUGGAGGCAUUGCCUGCCAGUGACAACUGUUUAACGGCCGCGGUAUCCUGACCGUGCAAAGGUAGCAUAAUCAUUUGUUCUCUAAAUAAGGACUUGUAUGAAUGGCCGCACGAGGGUUUUACUGUCUCUUACUUCCAAUCAGUGAAAUUGACCUUCCCGUGAAGAGGCGGGAAUGCACAAAUAAGACGAGAAGACCCUAUGGAGCUUUAACUAACCAACCCAAAGAGAAUAGAUUUAACCAUUAAGGAAUAACAACAAUCUCCAUGAGUUGGUAGUUUCGGUUGGGGUGACCUCGGAGAAUAAAAAAUCCUCCGAGCGAUUUUAAAGACUAGACCCACAAGUCAAAUCACUCUAUCGCUCAUUGAUCCAAAAACUUGAUCAACGGAACAAGUUACCCUAGGGAUAACAGCGCAAUCCUAUUCAAGAGUCCAUAUCGACAAUAGGGUUUACGACCUCGAUGUUGGAUCAGGACAUCCUGAUGGUGCAACCGCUAUCAAAGGUUCGUUUGUUCAACGAUUAAAGUCCUACGUGAUCUGAUUCAGACCGGA